Molecule: transfer RNA, 75 nt
Filed under: Streptomyces xanthophaeus
Lineage: Bacteria; Bacillati; Actinomycetota; Actinomycetes; Kitasatosporales; Streptomycetaceae
Description: tRNA-Arg
Source: RNAcentral
UGCUGCGGCGGCGGGGGCGCCUGCCGCUGCGGACGGCGGCGCAGCGGGUCCUCGUUCGGGUCGAGGUACUGCACC